This 153-nucleotide ribosomal RNA is filed under the name uncultured Enterobacteriaceae bacterium. RNAcentral's name for it is "partial 16S ribosomal RNA". It matches the Rfam family "Bacterial small subunit ribosomal RNA", at positions 381 to 525 of the family's 1533-position model. Lineage: Bacteria; Pseudomonadati; Pseudomonadota; Gammaproteobacteria; Enterobacterales; Enterobacteriaceae. The record is from RNAcentral.
GCCUGAUGCAGCCAUGCCGCGUGUGUGAAGAAGGCCUUCGGGUUGUAAAGUACUUUCAGCGGGGAGGAAGGUGAUGAGGUUAAUAACCUUGGCCAUUGACGUUACCCGCAGAAGAAGCACCGGCUAACUCCGUGCCAGCAGCCGCGGUAAUCA